This 467-nucleotide ribosomal RNA is filed under the name uncultured bacterium. RNAcentral's name for it is "bacterial SSU rRNA". It matches the Rfam family "Bacterial small subunit ribosomal RNA", at positions 28 to 507 of the family's 1533-position model. The record is from RNAcentral.
GACGAACGCUGGCGGCGUGCCUAACACAUGCAAGUCGAACGAAGUAUGUUUUUCGGAAUAUACUUAGUGGCGGACGGGUGAGUAACGCGUGAACAAUCUGCCCUGUACAAAGGAAUAGCCUCGGGAAACCGGGAUUAAAAACCAUAUGACACUUGAGUAUCACAUGAUACAUAAGCCAAAUCGAAUAAGAGGUAUAGGAUGAGUUCGCGUCUGAUUAGCUAGUUGGUAGGGUAAAGGCCUACCAAGGCGACGAUCAGUAGCCGGCCUGAGAGGGUGAACGGCCACACUGGAACUGAGACACGGUCCAGACUCCUACGGGAGGCAGCAGUGGGGAAUAUUGCACAAUGGGGGAAACCCUGAUGCAGCGACGCCGCGUGAGUGAAGAAGGUCUUCGGAUCGUAAAACUCUGUCCUUGGUGAAGAAAAAAAUGACGGUAGCCAAAGGAGGAAGCCCCGGCUAACUACGUG